UGAACAGUUGCAAAAAAUAAAUCUUCUUUUGCAACCCAGAACUCAUUGUUUGGUAUGAAUUUUGAUACAUAUAAGAAGGAAUAUU
RNAcentral lists this small nucleolar RNA (85 nucleotides) under Chinchilla lanigera (long-tailed chinchilla). RNAcentral describes it as "Small nucleolar RNA SNORA40 (ENSCLAG00000018678.1)". It matches the Rfam family "Small nucleolar RNA SNORA40", at positions 44 to 128 of the family's 128-position model. Rfam says of the family: The snoRNA ACA 40 belongs to the H/ACA family of snoRNAs and guides the pseudouridylation of 28S rRNA subunit at position U4565. NB This family has a high threshold value to exclude a large number of closely related sequences that do not appear to have conserved H and ACA boxes, and may be pseudogenes. The record is from RNAcentral. Lineage: Eukaryota; Metazoa; Chordata; Mammalia; Rodentia; Chinchillidae.